GACGAAGGGGGCUAGCGUUGUUCGGAAUUACUGGGCGUAAAGGGCGCGUAGGCUGCGGGGCAAGUCGGGUGUGAAAUCUCAGAGCUCAACUCUGAAACUGCACUCGAUACUGCUUUGCUUGAGGACUGGAGAGGAGAUUGGAAUUCACGGUGUAGCAGUGAAAUGCGUAGAUAUCGUGAGGAAGACCAGUGGCGAAGGCGGAUCUCUGGACAGUUCCUGACGCUGAGGCGCGAAGGCCAGGGGAGCAAACAGG
Molecule: ribosomal RNA, 253 nt
Filed under: uncultured bacterium
Lineage: Bacteria
Description: partial 16S ribosomal RNA
Rfam family: Bacterial small subunit ribosomal RNA
Source: RNAcentral